GACGAACGCUGGCGGCGUGCUUAACACAUGCAAGUCGAACGGAAAGGCUCCAGCUUGCUGGAGUACUCGAGUGGCGAACGGGUGAGUAACACGUGGGUGAUCUGCCCUGCACUUCGGGAUAAGCCUGGGAAACUGGGUCUAAUACCGGAUAGGACCGCACUUUGGUGUGUGUGGUGGAAAGGUUUUUCUGGUGUGGGAUGAGCUCGCGGCCUAUCAGUUUGUUGGUGGGGUAAUGGCCUACCAAGACGGCGACGGGUAGCCGGCCUGAGAGGGUGGACGGUAACAUUGGGACUGAGAUACGGCCCAGACUCCUACGGGAGGCAGCAGUGGGGAAUAUUGCACAAUGGGGGAAACCCUGAUGCAGCGACGCCGCGUGGGGGAUGAAGGCCUUCGGGUUGUAAACUCAUUUCGCUAGGGACGAAGCUUUUUGUGACGGUACCUGGAGAAGAAGCACCGGCUAACUACGUG
This 468-nucleotide ribosomal RNA is filed under the name uncultured bacterium. RNAcentral describes it as "partial 16S ribosomal RNA". It matches the Rfam family "Bacterial small subunit ribosomal RNA", at positions 28 to 507 of the family's 1533-position model. The record is from RNAcentral.